CACGUAGGGCGCAAGCGUUGUCCGGAAUUAUUGGGCGUAAAGAGCUCGUAGGCGGUCUGUUACGUCUGCUGUGAAAACCCGGGGCUUAACCCUGGGCUUGCAGUGGAUACGGGCAGACUAGAGGCAGGUAGGGGAUAAUGGAAUUCCCGGUGUAGCGGUGAAAUGCGCAGAUAUCGGGAGGAACACCGGUGGCGAAGGCGACUACCUGGCCUGUUCUUGACGCUGAGGCGCGAAAGCUAGGGGAGCAAACGGG
This 253-nucleotide ribosomal RNA is filed under the name uncultured bacterium. RNAcentral's name for it is "partial 16S ribosomal RNA". It matches the Rfam family "Bacterial small subunit ribosomal RNA", at positions 524 to 776 of the family's 1533-position model. The record is from RNAcentral.